UCAGGACACUACAUGAUGGAAGACGUACCGAAAGACUGAGGAACAGUAUUCUACUUAAAUAAAAAUCAUGGGACAGACACAGCAAACAGAGAACGCAGAAGAAAUUGAUGUUAAAGCGCUGCAGGAUAUGUAUAAAAAAUUUGUGACAGAAUGCCCGAGUGGAGUACUUUUUCUACAUGAAUUCAAGCGUUUCUUUGGCGUGGACCCAACCGGUGAAGCAUCGGAUUACGCUGAGAACAUGUUUCGAGCUUUUGACAGUAAUGGGGACAACACUAUUGAUUUCCUCGAAUUUGUAGCUGCACUGAAUCUUGUUUUUCGAGGUGACAUGGAGCAUAAAUUGCGCUGGUCAUUCAAGGUGUAUGACAAAGACAGCAAUGGCUACGUGGACAAAGAUGAACUCCGGUCAAUAAUCAAUCCUAAAUCCAGCGUUGGAUCGCUGCAUGUGUUUGAGAUUAACUGCGGCCGACUUCAACAGCCUGAAGCGGAAUGUGGGACGGCCCACUACUUGAAGGCAUGGCGCAGUGUCUGGGGAAGAGCAUUUAUUGUGCAAACAAAGGCACAAAGACAGACACAAAUGAGUCCCACUUGACAGUAGAUGAUGCUGUGGAACGAAUACUGAAGGCUGUUGAUAGUGAUGGGGAUGGUUGUAUCAAUAUGGAAGAGUUCAUUAGAGGUGCACAGCAGGACCCUUGGGUCCUUAACAUGUUGAAGUUGGACAUAAAUCCUUCGCUAUGGAUUCUCGACAAAAGGAGAAAGAGUGCACACUUUUAAUUCUGGAGAGGCCAAGUCCACAUAUAAGGCCUUUAUGCAAUUAAUAUGACAUUCAAAAAUACAGUAUCUGUAAAUGACAGUGGACAAACACAGGAUGUUAUGCGUCUAAUCAAUCCCUUGGCCAGGACAAAUUUUAAGCUACAGUGGGGCAAGUAAGUAUUUAGUCAACUACUAAUUGUGCAAGUUCUCCCACUUGAAAAUAUUAGAGAGGCCUGUAAUUGUCAACAUAGGUAAACCUCAACCAAGUGCUUUAACUCUUUGGCUGCCACAGUUUAAAAAUAAUAAAAAGCCGAGUUACAGCCUUCCUGCCACUCUGAACACAGUAAAUCAAACUAUUAGCUGUAGUACAGUGGGGCAAAUAAGUGUUUAGUCAACCACUAUUUGUGCAAGUUCUCCCACUUGAAAAUAUUAGAGAGGCCUGUAAUUGUCAACAUGGGUAAACCUCAACCAUGAGAGUCAGAAUGUGGGGAAAAAAAAAACAGAAAAUCACAUUGUUUGAUUUUUAAAAAAUAUAUUUGCAAAUCAUGAUGGAAAAUAAGUAUUUGGUCAAUACCAAAAGUUCAUCUCAAUACUUUGUUAUGUACCCUUUGUUGACAAUAACGGAGGCCGAACUUUUUCUGUAACUCUUCACAAGCUAUUCACACUGUGGCUGGUGUUUUGGCCCAUUCCUCUAUGCAGAUCUCCUCUAGAGCAAUGAUGUUUUGGGGCUGUCGUUGGGCAAAACGGACUCUCAACUCCUUCCACAGAUUUUCUAUGGGGUUGAGAUCUGGAGACUGGCUAGGCCACUCCAGGACCUUGAAAUGCUUCUUAUGAAGCCCUCCUUUGUUGCCCUGGCUGUGUGUUUGGGAUCAUUGUCAUGCUGAAAGACCCAGCCAUGUCUCAUCUUCAAUGCCCUUGCUGAUGGAAGGAGAUUUUCACUCAAAAUCUCUCGAUACAUGGCCCAAUUCAGUCUUUCCUUUACACAGAUCAGUUGUCCUGAUCCCUUUGCAGAAAAACAGCCCCAGAGCAUGAUGUUUCCACCCCCAUGCUUCACAGUGGGUAUGGUGUUCUUCGGAUGCAAUUAAAUAUUCUUUCUCCUACAAACACGAGAACCUGUGUUACUACCAAAAAGUUCUAUUUUGAUUUCAUGUGACCAUAACACAUUCUCCCAGUCCUCUUCUGGAUCAUCCAAAUGCUCUCUAGCGAACCGCAGACAGGCCUGGAUUUGUACUGGCUUCAGAAUGGGGACACGUCUGGCAGUGCAGGAUUUGAGUCCCUGGCGGCGCAUUGUGUUACUGAUAGUAGCCUUUGUUACUGUGGUCGCAGCUCUCUGUAGGUCAUUCACUAGGUCCCCCCGUGUGGUUCUGGGAUUUUUGCUCACUGUUCUUGUUAUCAUUUUAACGCCACAGGGUGAGAUCUUGCAUGGAGCCCGUGAUUAUCAGUGGUCUUUUAUGUCUUCCAUUUUCUAAUAAUUGCUCCCACAGCUGAUUUCUGUACACCAAGCGUAUUACCUAUUGCAGAUUCAGUCUUCCCAGCGUGGUGGUUUUGUCUCUGGUGUCCUUCGACAGCUCUUUGGUCUUGGCCAUAGUGGACUUUGGAGUGUGACUGACUGAGUUUGUGGACAGGUGUCUUUUAUACCGAUAAUGAGUUAAAACAGGUGCCAUUAAUACAGGUAACGGAGCCUCGUUAGACCUUGUUAGAAGAAGUUAGAAGAAACAGCCAGAAAUCUUUCUUGUUUGUAGGUGGCCAAAUACUUAUUUUCCACUCUAAUUUGGAAAUAAAUUAUUUAAAAAUCAAACAAUGUGAUUUUCUGUUUUUUUUUUUUUUUUUUUUCCAUAUUCUGUCUCUAAUG
This is an RNA transcript of Corythoichthys intestinalis (scribbled pipefish), 2602 nucleotides long. It is a transcript of the gene named guanylyl cyclase-activating protein 2-like, with no coding region annotated. The transcript is spliced from 5 exons. The record is from RefSeq and is a predicted model, not a curated record. Lineage: Eukaryota; Metazoa; Chordata; Actinopteri; Syngnathiformes; Syngnathidae.